Molecule: ribosomal RNA, 253 nt
Filed under: uncultured bacterium
Lineage: Bacteria
Description: partial 16S ribosomal RNA
Rfam family: Bacterial small subunit ribosomal RNA
Source: RNAcentral
UACGAAGGGGGCUAGCGUUGCUCGGAAUCACUGGGCGUAAAGGGCGCGUAGGCGGCCAUUCAAGUCGGGGGUGAAAGCCUGUGGCUCAACCACAGAAUUGCCUUCGAUACUGUUUGGCUUGAGUAUGGUAGAGGUUGGUGGAACUGCGAGUGUAGAGGUGAAAUUCGUAGAUAUUCGCAAGAACACCAGUGGCGAAGGCGGCCAACUGGACCAUUACUGACGCUGAGGCGCGAAAGCGUGGGGAGCAAACAGG